ACUCCAUUGUUGGGACCAAAGAUU
This 24-nucleotide non-coding RNA is filed under the name Cricetulus griseus (Chinese hamster). The record is from RNAcentral. Lineage: Eukaryota; Metazoa; Chordata; Mammalia; Rodentia; Cricetidae.